GGGGUUGUGGCUCAGUGGUAGAGCAUUCGCCUAAGAUGUGUGAGGUAUUGGGAUCGAUCCUCAGCACCA
RNAcentral lists this transfer RNA (69 nucleotides) under Ictidomys tridecemlineatus (thirteen-lined ground squirrel). RNAcentral's name for it is "Spermophilus tridecemlineatus (thirteen-lined ground squirrel) tRNA". It matches the Rfam family "tRNA". From Rfam's summary of the family: Transfer RNA (tRNA) molecules are approximately 80 nucleotides in length. Their secondary structure includes four short double-helical elements and three loops (D, anti-codon, and T loops). Further hydrogen bonds mediate the characteristic L-shaped molecular structure. tRNAs have two regions of fundamental functional importance: the anti-codon, which is responsible for specific mRNA codon recognition, and the 3' end, to which the tRNAs corresponding amino acid is attached (by aminoacyl-tRNA synthetases). tRNAs cope with the degeneracy of the genetic code in two manners: having more than one tRNA (with a specific anti-codon) for a particular amino acid; and 'wobble' base-pairing, i.e. permitting non-standard base-pairing at the 3rd anti-codon position. The record is from Rfam by way of RNAcentral. Lineage: Eukaryota; Metazoa; Chordata; Mammalia; Rodentia; Sciuridae.